Molecule: unclassified non-coding RNA, 257 nt
Filed under: Penicillium scabrosum
Lineage: Eukaryota; Fungi; Ascomycota; Eurotiomycetes; Eurotiales; Aspergillaceae
Description: sequence contains 5.8S rRNA gene
Rfam family: 5.8S ribosomal RNA (bases 1-53)
Source: RNAcentral
GAACGCACAUUGCGCCCUCUGGUAUUCCGGAGGGCAUGCCUGUCCGAGCGUCAUUGCUGCCCUCAAGCACGGCUUGUGUGUUGGGCCCCGUCCUCCGAUCCCGGGGGACGGGCCCGAAAGGCAGCGGCGGCACCGCGUCCGGUCCUCGAGCGUAUGGGGCUUUGUCACCCGCUCUGUAGGCCCGGCCGGCGCUUGCCGAUCAACCAAACUUUUAUCCAGGUUGACCUCGGAUCAGGUAGGGAUACCCGCUGAACUUA